GAUGAACGCUGGCGGCGUGCCUAAUACAUGCAAGUCGAGCGAACGGACGAGAAGCUUGCUUCUCUGAUGUUAGCGGCGGACGGGUGAGUAACACGUGGAUAACCUACCUAUAAGACUGGGAUAACUUCGGGAAACCGGAGCUAAUACCGGAUAAUAUUUUGAACCGCAUGGUUCAAAAGUGAAAGACGGUCUUGCUGUCACUUAUAGAUGGAUCCGCGCUGCAUUAGCUAGUUGGUAAGGUAACGGCUUACCAAGGCAACGAUGCAGAGCCGACCUGAUAGGGUGAUCGCUCACACUGGAACUGAGACACGUUCCAGACUCCUACGGGAGGCAGCAGUAGGGAAUCUUCCGCGAUGGGCCAAAGCCUGACGGAGCAACGCCGCGUGAGUGAUGAAGGUCUUCGGAUCGUAAGACUCUGUUAUUAGGGAAGAACAUAUGUGUAAGUAACUGUGCACAUCUUGACGGUACCUAAUCAGAAAGCCACGGCUAACUACGUG
Molecule: ribosomal RNA, 497 nt
Filed under: uncultured bacterium
Lineage: Bacteria
Description: partial 16S ribosomal RNA
Rfam family: Bacterial small subunit ribosomal RNA
Source: RNAcentral